This 157-nucleotide non-coding RNA is filed under the name Candidatus Omnitrophota bacterium. RNAcentral describes it as "6S RNA". It matches the Rfam family "6S / SsrS RNA". From Rfam's summary of the family: E. coli 6S RNA was the first non coding RNA to be sequenced, but its function was unknown until recently. It consists of 184 nucleotides that fold into an extended hairpin structure with a large single-stranded internal bulge. The record is from RNAcentral. Lineage: Bacteria; Pseudomonadati; Candidatus Omnitrophota.
AUUUCCCUGCUAUGUACGUGAUGAGCAGAUAGACUUGAGCCAACACAGUUUGCCCGGGAACCUAACUUCAUACUGCCCGCGGGCGGAAAUGAGAAGGUACCCACUUAGUAGACCGGGUUCAAGCCUAUCACGCACGCACGGCAUCCGCGGGGAUUUC